Non-coding RNA from Onthophagus taurus, 1075 nucleotides. Lineage: Eukaryota; Metazoa; Arthropoda; Insecta; Coleoptera; Scarabaeidae. The record is from RefSeq and is a predicted model, not a curated record.
CCGUCAUGUAAAGGUGGGACUCAGUACAAAGUUUUAUUUUAUUUUGUUAAUUCUUUUUAAUUUUCAAAAUUUAAAUAUUAACGUUUUUCGGCUCAUUUUUCGAUUGUUUUUUCAAUUUUGAUAUAAAAAAACUUUCUGGCUUAAUCAACUCGAAGAGUAGAUACUUGGAAACAACGUGGAAAUUUACAAAACACGAGUUUAGCACGAAGGAUGUUUCAAUUUCUUAGUGGUUACCUCAGCAGUUUUUUUGUACUCACAAAAUUUGGUACUAUAGUUGGUCUUACUAUGACUACUGUUAAAUUUGUUGUGAGUAAGGACUCGACUAGUUUCUUAAUGACCAUAAGUUGCUUAGUAGGAAUGUUUGCACCUCACACUUUUGUGCAGAAAUUGACUACAGCGGCUGCUGGAGUGAGCGAUGAAAUAUAUAACCUUAAUUGGUACGAAGCGGAUACAUCAACGCGCAAAAUCAUUCUAAUUUUUCUUCAAACAACUCAAAAACCACUCGCAAUCGAGCUACCAUUUUUCGGCCAAUUCUCCCAUGUUGCAUUGGGAAUUGAAUACAAGAGAGUUUACAUUUUAUAUAAUUGGAUACUAACAAUUAUGAAAUAAAGAUUUAUUGUAACGAAUUUAUCGCAAAUAUUCAGCACCUAUUUUUAGAUGACACUUUUGAUGUUUAUGAUUUAACGCUAAGCAAAGACCCCCCAAGCUAAAAGCACACAUAAUCAAACAACUAAAGUUCACAAGUUCUUCAAGUAAGCUCAAAUAAGGAUGAAUUAUUUAGUUAGUUUUGCCCUGACGUUACUCUGCCUUUCGAAAGCGGUCGUUUCAGUACCCAUCAUCAGCGAACCAAAUUCGUUACAACAACUUUGUUAUUAUAUUAUGGACAACUUGAGAUUACAAGAAAAUACGAGUGGCAACAUUGAGGAUAAACACUCAGGACGUGGAAUCAAGAGACAAGCAGUUGAUCACGUGUUUUUGCGAUUUGGGAAACAAUUCGGCUUCUAAAUUACUAUUUUAAUGAAUCAUCACCAGUUUUCAACAUUUUGUUAUAGUAAUAUAGUCAAAAAAUAAAAAC